GUGCUCGCUUUGGCAGCAAAUUUACUAAAAUUGGAACAAUACAGAGAUUAGCACGGCCCCUCGUAAGGAUGACACACAAAUUCAUGAAGCGUUCCAUAUUCCU
This 103-nucleotide small nuclear RNA is filed under the name Octodon degus (degu). Lineage: Eukaryota; Metazoa; Chordata; Mammalia; Rodentia; Octodontidae. The record is from RNAcentral.